UUGAACGCUGGCGGCAUGCCUUACACAUGCAAGUCGAACGGCAGCGCGGACUUCGGUCUGGCGGCGAGUGGCGAACGGGUGAGUAAUACAUCGGAACGUACCCUGUUGUUGGGGAUAACUAGUCGAAAGAUUAGCUAAUACCGCAUACGACCUGAGGGUGAAAGUGGGGGACCGGAAACGGCCUCAUGCAGCAGGAGCGGCCGAUGUCUGAUUAGCUAGUUGGUGGGGUAAAGGCCCACCAAGGCGACGAUCAGUAGCUGGUCUGAGAGGACGAUCAGCCACACUGGGACUGAGACACGGCCCAGACUCCUACGGGAGGCAGCAGUGGGGAAUUUUGGACAAUGGGGGCAACCCUGAUCCAGCAAUGCCGCGUGUGUGAAGAAGGCCUUCGGGUUGUAAAGCACUUUUGUCCGGAAAGAAAUCGCGCUGGUUAAUACCUGGCGUGGAUGACGGUACCGGAAGAAUAAGCACCGGCUAACUACGUG
This 485-nucleotide ribosomal RNA is filed under the name uncultured bacterium. RNAcentral's name for it is "partial 16S ribosomal RNA". It matches the Rfam family "Bacterial small subunit ribosomal RNA", at positions 30 to 507 of the family's 1533-position model. The record is from RNAcentral.